GGGUUGUGAGGUUAAGCGACUAAGCGUACACGGUGGAUGCCCUGGCAGUCAGAGGCGAUGAAGGACGUGCUAAUCUGCGAUAAGCGUCGGUAAGGUGAUAUGAACCGUUAUAACCGGCGAUUUCCGAAUGGGGAAACCCAGUGUGAUUCGUCACACUAUCAUUAACUGAAUCCAUAGGUUAAUGAGGCGAACCGGGGGAACUGAAACAUCUAAGUACCCCGAGGAAAAGAAAUCAACCGAGAUUCCCCCAGUAGCGGCGAGCGAACGGGGAGCAGCCCAGAGCCUGAAUCAGUGUGUGUGUUAGUGGAAGCGUCUGGAAAGGCGCGCGAUACAGGGUGACAGCCCCGUACACAAAAAUGCACAUGCUGUGAGCUCGAUGAGUAGGGCGGGACACGUGGUAUCCUGUCUGAAUAUGGGGGGACCAUCCUCCAAGGCUAAAUACUCCUGACUGACCGAUAGUGAACCAGUACCGUGAGGGAAAGGCGAAAAGAACCCCGGCGAGGGGAGUGAAAAAGAACCUGAAACCGUGUACGUACAAGCAGUGGGAGCACGCUUAGGCGUGUGACUGCGUACCUUUUGUAUAAUGGGUCAGCGACUUAUAUUCUGUAGCAAGGUUAACCGAAUAGGGGAGCCGAAGGGAAACCGAGUCUUAACUGGGCGUUAAGUUGCAGGGUAUAGACCCGAAACCCGGUGAUCUAGCCAUGGGCAGGUUGAAGGUUGGGUAACACUAACUGGAGGACCGAACCGACUAAUGUUGAAAAAUUAGCGGAUGACUUGUGGCUGGGGGUGAAAGGCCAAUCAAACCGGGAGAUAGCUGGUUCUCCCCGAAAGCUAUUUAGGUAGCGCCUCGUGAAUUCAUCUCCGGGGGUAGAGCACUGUUUCGGCAAGGGGGUCAUCCCGACUUACCAACCCGAUGCAAACUGCGAAUACCGGAGAAUGUUAUCACGGGAGACACACGGCGGGUGCUAACGUCCGUCGUGAAGAGGGAAACAACCCAGACCGCCAGCUAAGGUCCCAAAGUCAUGGUUAAGUGGGAAACGAUGUGGGAAGGCCCAGACAGCCAGGAUGUUGGCUUAGAAGCAGCCAUCAUUUAAAGAAAGCGUAAUAGCUCACUGGUCGAGUCGGCCUGCGCGGAAGAUGUAACGGGGCUAAACCAUGCACCGAAGCUGCGGCAGCGACGCUGAUGCGUUGUUGGGUAGGGGAGCGUUCUGUAAGCCUGCGAAGGUGUGCUGUGAGGCAUGCUGGAGGUAUCAGAAGUGCGAAUGCUGACAUAAGUAACGAUAAAGCGGGUGAAAAGCCCGCUCGCCGGAAGACCAAGGGUUCCUGUCCAACGUUAAUCGGGGCAGGGUGAGUCGACCCCUAAGGCGAGGCCGAAAGGCGUAGUCGAUGGGAAACAGGUUAAUAUUCCUGUACUUGGUGUUACUGCGAAGGGGGGACGGAGAAGGCUAUGUUGGCCGGGCGACGGUUGUCCCGGUUUAAGCGUGUAGGCUGGUUUUCCAGGCAAAUCCGGAAAAUCAAGGCUGAGGCGUGAUGACGAGGCACUACGGUGCUGAAGCAACAAAUGCCCUGCUUCCAGGAAAAGCCUCUAAGCAUCAGGUAACAUCAAAUCGUACCCCAAACCGACACAGGUGGUCAGGUAGAGAAUACCAAGGCGCUUGAGAGAACUCGGGUGAAGGAACUAGGCAAAAUGGUGCCGUAACUUCGGGAGAAGGCACGCUGAUAUGUAGGUGAAGUCCCUUGCGGAUGGAGCUGAAAUCAGUCGAAGAUACCAGCUGGCUGCAACUGUUUAUUAAAAACACAGCACUGUGCAAACACGAAAGUGGACGUAUACGGUGUGACGCCUGCCCGGUGCCGGAAGGUUAAUUGAUGGGGUUAGCGCAAGCGAAGCUCUUGAUCGAAGCCCCGGUAAACGGCGGCCGUAACUAUAACGGUCCUAAGGUAGCGAAAUUCCUUGUCGGGUAAGUUCCGACCUGCACGAAUGGCGUAAUGAUGGCCAGGCUGUCUCCACCCGAGACUCAGUGAAAUUGAACUCGCUGUGAAGAUGCAGUGUACCCGCGGCAAGACGGAAAGACCCCGUGAACCUUUACUAUAGCUUGACACUGAACAUUGAGCCUUGAUGUGUAGGAUAGGUGGGAGGCUUGGAAGUGUGGACGCCAGUCUGCAUGGAGCCGACCUUGAAAUACCACCCUUUAAUGUUUGAUGUUCUAACGUUGACCCGUAAUCCGGGUUGCGGACAGUGUCUGGUGGGUAGUUUGACUGGGGCGGUCUCCUCCUAAAGAGUAACGGAGGAGCACGAAGGUUGGCUAAUCCUGGUCGGACAUCAGGAGGUUAGUGCAAUGGCAUAAGCCAGCUUGACUGCGAGCGUGACGGCGCGAGCAGGUGCGAAAGCAGGUCAUAGUGAUCCGGUGGUUCUGAAUGGAAGGGCCAUCGCUCAACGGAUAAAAGGUACUCCGGGGAUAACAGGCUGAUACCGCCCAAGAGUUCAUAUCGACGGCGGUGUUUGGCACCUCGAUGUCGGCUCAUCACAUCCUGGGGCUGAAGUAGGUCCCAAGGGUAUGGCUGUUCGCCAUUUAAAGUGGUACGCGAGCUGGGUUUAGAACGUCGUGAGACAGUUCGGUCCCUAUCUGCCGUGGGCGCUGGAGAACUGAGGGGGGCUGCUCCUAGUACGAGAGGACCGGAGUGGACGCAUCACUGGUGUUCGGGUUGUCAUGCCAAUGGCACUGCCCGGUAGCUAAAUGCGGAAGAGAUAAGUGCUGAAAGCAUCUAAGCACGAAACUUGCCCCGAGAUGAGUUCUCCCUGACUCCUUGAGAGUCCUGAAGGAACGUUGAAGACGACGACGUUGAUAGGCCGGGUGUGUAAGCGCAGCGAUGCGUUGAGCUAACCGGUACUAAUGAACCGUGAGGCUUAACCUUACAACGCCGAAGCUGUU
RNAcentral lists this ribosomal RNA (2930 nucleotides) under Escherichia coli. RNAcentral's name for it is "23S ribosomal RNA". It matches the Rfam family "Bacterial large subunit ribosomal RNA". Lineage: Bacteria; Pseudomonadati; Pseudomonadota; Gammaproteobacteria; Enterobacterales; Enterobacteriaceae. The record is from RNAcentral.